Molecule: unclassified non-coding RNA, 305 nt
Filed under: plant metagenome
Description: partial contains 5.8S ribosomal RNA, internal transcribed spacer 2, and large subunit ribosomal RNA
Rfam family: 5.8S ribosomal RNA (bases 1-105)
Source: RNAcentral
GAAAUGCGAUAAGUAGUGUGAAUUGCAGAAUUCAGUGAAUCAUCGAAUCUUUGAACGCACAUUGCGCCCUUUGGUAUUCCUUAGGGCAUGCCUGUUCGAGCGUCAUCUAAACCUUCAAGCCCUGCUUGGUGUUGGGUGCCUGUCCCGCCUCCGCGCGCGGACACACCUCAAAUCCAUUGGCGGCCCCCGCGUCGGCCACGAGCGCAGCAGAAACGCGAACUCGUGAGCCCGUCCGGGCGGCUCCCAGAAGCUACACCCACCCAGUUUGACCUCGGAUCAGGUAGGGAUACCCGCUGAACUUAAGC